UGGCAGUGGGGGCGAGAAGGGGGGGUAAUACGGAGGUGGGAGGGGUGGUCCGGGAUGAGUGGGCGUAAGUGGGGGGGAGGCGGUUUGUCAGGGCCGAUGGGAAAGCCCGGGGCUCAACCUGGGGCUGGUGGGGGGAACCGGGUGGCGAGAGUCCGGAAGAGGGGAGGGGAAUUCCAGGUGUAGCGGUGAAAUGCGCAGAUAUCGGGAGGAACACCCGUGGCGAAGGCGGCUCUCUGGGACGGUACUGACGCUGAGGCGCGAAAGCGUGGGGAGCGAACAGGAUUAGAUACCCGGGUAGUC
This 300-nucleotide ribosomal RNA is filed under the name uncultured Bacillus sp. RNAcentral's name for it is "partial 16S ribosomal RNA". The stretch from base 55 to 300 matches the Rfam family "Bacterial small subunit ribosomal RNA", at positions 550 to 795 of the family's 1533-position model. The record is from RNAcentral. Lineage: Bacteria; Bacillati; Bacillota; Bacilli; Caryophanales; Bacillaceae.